This 394-nucleotide ribosomal RNA is filed under the name uncultured bacterium. RNAcentral describes it as "partial 16S ribosomal RNA". It matches the Rfam family "Bacterial small subunit ribosomal RNA", at positions 338 to 729 of the family's 1533-position model. The record is from RNAcentral.
CCUACGGGAGGCAGCAGUGAGGAAUAUUGGUCAAUGGACGUAAGUCUGAACCAGCCAAGUCGCGUGCAGGAAGACGGCUCUAUGGGUUGUAAACUGCUUUUAUACGGGGAUAAACUUAGCCACGUGUGGCUAAUUGCAGGUACCGUAUGAAUAAGGAUCGGCUAAUUCCGUGCCAGCAGCCGCGGUAAUACGGAGGAUCCGGGCGUUAUCCGGAUUUAUUGGGUUUAAAGGGUGCGUAGGCUGUUCUUUAAGUGAGGGGUGAAAUGUCGGGGCUCAACCGUGGAACUGCAGCGCAUACUGGGGGUCUUGAGUGUGGUUGAGGUAGGCGGAAUGUGUGGUGUAGCGGUGAAAUGCUUAGAGAUCACGCAGAACUCCGAUUGCGAAGGCAGCUUAC